GUGGCUUUCGUCCGACUUUGUCAAUGAGAAUGAUGGCUAUUAAUAUAAAUGCUGUCUUGCUGACUCCCACAGCAACUGUAGCAGCCAGAAGCUUUGAUUCAUCCUCAAUACCAGCUGCUUUAAAAAUUGUGGGACUGUAGUAAACAGUUGCAUCAAUUCCGGUAAUCUGUUGGAAACAUUGAAUUCCAAUACCUGUGAUCAGCAUCCUACGUAGAGCAGGAGAGGGGCUUAACAAUUCACGCCAGACAGGUUUGUCUGUGUCUG
This 264-nucleotide unclassified non-coding RNA is filed under the name Hevea brasiliensis (rubber tree). Lineage: Eukaryota; Viridiplantae; Streptophyta; Magnoliopsida; Malpighiales; Euphorbiaceae. The record is from RNAcentral.